RNAcentral lists this unclassified non-coding RNA (172 nucleotides) under uncultured Geomyces. RNAcentral describes it as "sequence contains ITS1". The record is from RNAcentral. Lineage: Eukaryota; Fungi; Ascomycota; Leotiomycetes; Myxotrichaceae.
AAGUUAUAGUCCCCCGGCCCUCUGGGCUGGGGUCCUCUAUACCACCCUUUGUUUAUUACACCUUUGUUGCUUUGGCAGGCCUGCCUCCGGGCUGCUGGCUCCGGCCGGCGAGCGCCUGCCAGAGGACCUAAACUCUGUUUGUCUAUACUGUCUGAGUACUAUAUAAUAGUUA